Molecule: transfer RNA, 73 nt
Filed under: Salmo salar (Atlantic salmon)
Lineage: Eukaryota; Metazoa; Chordata; Actinopteri; Salmoniformes; Salmonidae
Also listed under: 1 other name
Rfam family: tRNA
About the family: Transfer RNA (tRNA) molecules are approximately 80 nucleotides in length. Their secondary structure includes four short double-helical elements and three loops (D, anti-codon, and T loops). Further hydrogen bonds mediate the characteristic L-shaped molecular structure. tRNAs have two regions of fundamental functional importance: the anti-codon, which is responsible for specific mRNA codon recognition, and the 3' end, to which the tRNAs corresponding amino acid is attached (by aminoacyl-tRNA synthetases). tRNAs cope with the degeneracy of the genetic code in two manners: having more than one tRNA (with a specific anti-codon) for a particular amino acid; and 'wobble' base-pairing, i.e. permitting non-standard base-pairing at the 3rd anti-codon position.
Source: Rfam by way of RNAcentral
UCCCGUGUGGCUCAGUUGGUAGAGCAUGGUGUUUGCAAUGCCAGGGUUGUGGGUUCGAUUCCCACGGGGGGAC